Molecule: non-coding RNA, 86 nt
Filed under: Desulfobacter sp.
Lineage: Bacteria; Pseudomonadati; Thermodesulfobacteriota; Desulfobacteria; Desulfobacterales; Desulfobacteraceae
Description: Desulfitibacter sp. c-di-GMP sequence
Rfam family: c-di-GMP-I riboswitch aptamer
About the family: GEMM was predicted in a large-scale screen for bacterial structured RNA regulatory elements. Genes associated with GEMM are involved in a diverse array of functions, including chemotaxis regulation, signal transduction, secretion and chitin.
Source: RNAcentral
AACAUGAAAAAGCAAACUUACUGAAAAGUAAGGACGCAAAACUAUGGGUCUAAGACUUUCAGAGUUAAGACUGCCAGGUUGCCGGA